Molecule: long non-coding RNA, 5054 nt
Organism: Gallus gallus (chicken)
Lineage: Eukaryota; Metazoa; Chordata; Aves; Galliformes; Phasianidae
Source: Ensembl
AUUCAAAGAAAAUUAUAGAAUGGUACACUUCAAAAUAAAUGAGAAUUUGCUUACCACUCGGUACAUGCUUGCUUUGGCUAGUAAGACCUACCUACUAUGGUAUAUGAACUAAGUUGUAUAUUUUGUGGUUUUACAAAGCUUUCGUUGUCAGUACUUUCAUCUCGACAACCUUAACUAUAAAAUAGGAAAGGGUUCCAGUUUGUCUGGGGCCAGUGUCACACCAUAUACAUAAGUAACCGUGAAAAUAAUGCCUCCUAUUUAUUUCCAUGGAAACUACAACAAAGAGCACAAUAACACUAUUUGAUAGAGCAAAUUUUCAGCUACAAAACAAUGUUUUUUUGUGUCAACAUAAUAAAACAGGAGGCAUUACUUUCAGAGGAGACCUUCUACAUCUAUAUGUAUGUUCAGAAACUCACAAAUAAUGUCUUUCUUUGAAGAAACCUAACAGAAAUGUGACACGCUGCAGUGAUCAGGUACCUGUCAACAGCUGUGAUAUUAACCCAAGAAAAGAAAGUAAGAAAGAGAAGAAUGAUUUAAAGGUCUUGUGAGUUAUUAACAGGAAAAUGAGACUAGAAAUGUGCACACAGUUAUGCAAGCUGUAAUACAACGUCUUUUAUCACUGGGCUGCAGGACAGACUGGAUUCAGGCUAAGUGAUCUACCCAGUAUCUAAAGCUCUUCAUUUUUAAGCAAUGGACAGAAGAAGCAGUUAGGCCAUGGGUGUCCAACCUUUUGGCUUGCCAGAGCUGUACUGAAUGAACAGGAAUUGUCUUGAGCCAAAUAUAGAUAAGUUGCUCUGAAAGUAAUGUCUCCUGUUUAUUUCCAUGGAAAUGACACCAGAUGCACUAGUGGAGGUGAUCCACUGUUGUCACUGCUGAAACGCAACACUGCCUCACUGUGCUGACAUCCAUUGUUUGAACUCGAUAAACAUUCAGCAAGCAUCAAAGAAUGUCAUUGGGUGACAUUUUUUCCACAUGGAAGAAUUCAAUGACACAUCCUUGCAUUAUAUGCACUUCCAUGUCAGGUGCCAUCAUGUCAGACUGCCCCUCUGCUGCCAUUUGUCAUACAGCAACAAAAUGUAAGGGAAUACUGGUGGGAAGUUUCAAUCUCCACUGCCAUCCCACCAGCAUCUGCUCCUGAUGUUUUUGUGGGAUAUUUGGCCUUGUUUUUGCGAAAGUAAUGCAUCAGUUUAGUUCAAGGGAAGUGGUUGUAAGGUUUUGAUCAGAGAUUUUUCACAAACUUUUACUGUUUCUUGACAACAGUUGCUCACAAAUGUAUGUACUGCCAAAAAGCAACCUCAUGAAUAAGGUGUGACUGUGAAUCAAAGGACAUUUUUGUCUGAUAAGACAGAUCUUAUAAGGGUCUAGUAAAGAGACAUGAUCAGAUUUUUCUUUGCGUUGGAUAUCUGAUUGCAGCUUUACACACUCCAUUUGAAUGCUUGCAGGUAAUAAGUCAAUUAAAAAUGGAGUUGCAAAUAAACUAAACAAUUGAUGAAGUUUUUGACAAUCUUUAUUCUCCACUAUUCUCAAAUUCCUUUAUCAAAUUGGAAAGCACAUUUGCAUAUAUAUAUAUAGACCAAAUAUAUAUACAUAAACCAAAUAUAUAUAUUUUGCAGUUUACAGGGCUGUGUUUAGUCAAUGCAUCAAAAUGCAUACAAUUGUUUGCUGUAGCUUGAGUUGGCAUUGCACUACAGCCUCUCAGUGCCCUGGUUUCAGCCCAGAUAGUGCCAACCACACGCCGAUGUCUGGCUGUUGGUGAGUGAUGGUGAGUGAGUUGGUGCUCCUGGAGCCAGGCUGAGCUGGGUCACUUGGACAGGCAGAGCUGCCGCCAUGAUGGUGCAGGGUAGAAUGGGCUUGGCCACGCUGCAUGCAGCCCACAGGCCACAGGUUGGGCAUGCAAAGUCUAGUCCGUCAACCACUCCUCUCAAUUGUUUAUAAUCUAUGAAUCUGCUGAGAAUGCACCCUACCCCAUCAUCUGAAUCAUUAAGGAAAACAUUUUGGUCAAUACUGAUGCCAGUACUGACCCCAACAUAUCCCACUAGUAAUGGGACUGCAGCUGAAUGUUGCAUUGCUGAUAACAAUCCCUUGAACCAUGAAGUUCAGCCAGUUUUCAGUCCAUCUCACUGUUCGUUUAUCUAGUUCAUACUUCAUCAGAUUGUCUAUAAAAGAUAUUAUGGGAGAAAGUGCUGAAAGCCUCGCUGACAUCAAAAUAAACAACACAUGAUGCUGCCUUCCCCAAGCCCACCAAGCCAAUUGUUUCAGAAGGCUAAUAGGUUGGUCAAACAUGGUCUGAUCUCCUGAAGUACAGGGUUAUAAUCCCACUGUUUGCCUUUUUCCCUUCCUUCAUGAUCUCAGACACCACCGUCUCAUAACUACCAGAGGCAAUCCUACCUGCAAGCUUCACAUUUCUGACUAGACCUUUGCAACUAUCAGACUCAACAGGGCAUCUCCAUCUGUUGCUUCUUUGAUCACCUGUGUCAAGAAGUUGUCAUCAACCUGUCCUAGAAACCUCCUGGAUUGCUUACACUCAACAGCAUCAGUCUUCUAAAUAUUUCUGUGGAGGACGGAGACCCCAAAAGGACAACUGUCUGCUAGCAGAAGACUUUCUCAAGGUGUCCAAAAAGGGCCUCACUUGCCUGUUUCUGAUCUGGAGGACUGUAGCAGACACCCACUGCAAUGUUGCCUUCUUUAGUUUGCUCUCUAAUCCUAACCUAUAAAGUCUCAGCUGGUCUGGGAUCCAUCCCCAGGCAGAGCUCUCUCAAAUAUUAACUGCCAGUCCCACUCCUCAUUGUCCUGGCCGGUAUGUCCUAAACUGCCCAAAUCUGUCUUCACCAGCAGUUCAGUCAUGAGCCAUCCUGCCACAUUUGCCCAACCAGAUCGUGAGCCAUACAGCUAUACACAAAAGGCUUUAAUUUGUCUUCUUGAUACCUUAUGGUGCAUGUAUUAGUGUACAGACACUUCUGAGUACCCUGCUAGGCUGAUUUCCACUAAGAACUGUGAGAGCUUCUUGAAUACUACUUAUGGGAAAUGUUUUGAACAGUGUGGCAAAUAUCUGGGACAGAAAAAGAAGGCCUUCCAAUACGUCUCUUCAGUGCAUAUCACAUUAUUGAGUUCCUCUUAGUAGCACUUCUAACACUGUCAUGCUUAAUUUUUGUCACCAAACUGAACAAUCUCUUUCACAAUGUUACACACGAACAUUUCAGGGAUGUAGCACAUCUUUUAAAAAGUGCUUAACCCAAUUCAUUUUGGCUGUUCUCUAAUACUUCUCUAAUGAAAUCUAGAUCUAAAGUCAAUAUGAGCAAAGUUCAAAAUUUCACAUGGAGUUUUAGAUAUCUUAAACUUUUCAGUAACAGCAACAGCUUUUCAAAAUAAAGUCCUUUCACAAAUCUUUUCCUGCAGAAACACAGUAUGAGGUUUUUUUUUUAUAUCUUAGCAAAUAGCUUCUAACUUGAGCUAGAAAGAUUUCCUGAAAGGACUUCUAUAUUCUAAAAACUUUAGAAGAUAAAUUACAGAAGUAAGUAAUUCACUGACUUCUGAAAAAAGCCUCAUUAUGGACCUGGUCUUUUAAGAAUGUCCUCAUGAAAGAAGUUUUGAUCUUCUUUCAUAUUUCGAUCUCACUGGGCCAACUUCCAUUAUCUAGCCUCCCCCCUCCCCCGAAGUUGUGUAAAGAUACAGAAUCAGCUUGUAAUUUGUGAGAAGAGUUUUAUCUACUGGCAAAAUUGAAGUGUUUAAGCAAGAGCUUAACGUGUUUCUUAUUUCCUUCUAUUGUGAUGCUGUAAUAUUGUGUUUAUGACAGUAAAAUAACAGUCACACUCCACAGGAAAGAAUCCUCAUUAAGCAGAACUAUCUCUGUAAUAAUCAAAUGCAACAUAACAUUCAUUAAACAAACACCUUGUGGUAUGAACAUUUAUCUUCAAACAUGACCCAGUUUAAAAGUUUGCCUUAGAAUGACAACUUACAUGUUCUUGCAGAAUUUUCUAACAUGCUUUGAGGGCUGAAAUUCAUUAAGUUUCUGAUUCUGGUUAUUUUGCCAAAUUUUGAAAACAUCAUGCUGUUUCCAGCUUUGUUUUUAUGAUGGUACGGCUAUUGUCACAUUCCUUUAGAAUCAGUGUAGCUAAACAUGACUACAUGUAUAUUUUAAAAACAAUUGAAUUUAUUGGUACUAUAUUUUUGAACAACCUACCCCAACAUAUGCGGUAUCCAAAAUUUAUGUAGUUUAUUGUUGAAGCAACUCUGUCAGUGCUUUCAUGCCUGCUAUUCUUCUGUUACCACUGGCUCAUAAACCACCACACACAUUUCAUUAACUUGUUACAAUAAAAUUCCAGCUAACAGCAAAGAUGAUAUACAGAAGGAACUUCAUCUUGCUUUGGGUUCUGUUGAGUCUUCAUUACUCGCAGUGUAGGCAGGUGGCUGCUACCUGCAGAAAAGCACACAGACUCACAUUUGGUAGAAUCCAUUGCUGUGCUUUGCUCCUAUAAGUGUUUUAUUCACAGUAGCAAGUGCCAUUAUACCCACUAGUUUCCCUACUGGCUUGCUGGCACAAUCUCUUCCCUUUUUUCUUCCCCUAUGGAUGUUGCUACAAACAACAGCAGCAUUAAGAGAAAAUUCUGAUAAAAUAUAUUUAGUAUGUAUCAAGACGUCUAAUCAUUCAAGCUGGGGUGGCAACAAUCCAUUCAGGGGCUCUUCAGGUGCAAGAACACUGUUCAUCCAUCAUAAAUCUGCACAGCAGUAGCGCUACAAGUACUACAAUGCAACUCUGCACACGUCCUGCAAAAGCUCCGUUAAGUUUAAGUGGGUACCACUAUACUGUUGCACACUGUGCAGAAUGGAGCUGCUCCCGAACAACUAUUUCCCAGACACUGGCCUCACCACAACAGCCCCAUGGCCCACAGCCCCAUAGCAGUCCUAAGGCUCAGCACCCUUGAAGGGUCGCUGCGCUACAACUCAGUGACAAACUGUAAUGGCAGAGAAGGUCAACCUGAAGGCUCCGAGCCGCGUCCGGUCAUUACGUAGCACAGUUCUCACCUAAGGCCCGACGCUGGCAGCCGGCGGCCAAG